RNAcentral lists this ribosomal RNA (1580 nucleotides) under Salmonella enterica subsp. enterica serovar Typhi. RNAcentral describes it as "partial 23S ribosomal RNA". It matches the Rfam family "Bacterial large subunit ribosomal RNA", at positions 1367 to 2925 of the family's 2925-position model. Lineage: Bacteria; Pseudomonadati; Pseudomonadota; Gammaproteobacteria; Enterobacterales; Enterobacteriaceae. The record is from RNAcentral.
AAUCGGGGCAGGGUGAGUCGACCCCUAAGGCGAGGCCGAAAGGCGUAGUCGAUGGGAAACGGGUUAAUAUUCCCGUACUUGGUGUUACUGCGAAGGGGGGACGGAGAAGGCUAUGUUGGCCGGGCGACGGUUGUCCCGGUUUAAGCGUGUAGGUAUGUGUUCCAGGUAAAUCCGGUUCACUUUAACACUGAGGCGUGACGACGAGGCACUACGGUGCUGAAGCAACAAAUGCCCUGCUUCCAGGAAAAGCCUCUAAGCAUCAGGUAACAUCAAAUCGUACCCCAAACCGACACAGGUGGUCAGGUAGAGAAUACCAAGGCGCUUGAGAGAACUCGGGUGAAGGAACUAGGCAAAAUGGUGCCGUAACUUCGGGAGAAGGCACGCUGACACGUAGGUGAAGUGAUUUACUCACGGAGCUGAAGUCAGCCGAAGAUACCAGCUGGCUGCAACUGUUUAUUAAAAACACAGCACUGUGCAAACACGAAAGUGGACGUAUACGGUGUGACGCCUGCCCGGUGCCGGAAGGUUAAUUGAUGGGGUCAGCGCAAGCGAAGCUCCUGAUCGAAGCCCCGGUAAACGGCGGCCGUAACUAUAACGGUCCUAAGGUAGCGAAAUUCCUUGUCGGGUAAGUUCCGACCUGCACGAAUGGCGUAAUGAUGGCCAGGCUGUCUCCACCCGAGACUCAGUGAAAUUGAACUCGCUGUGAAGAUGCAGUGUACCCGCGGCAAGACGGAAAGACCCCGUGAACCUUUACUAUAGCUUGACACUGAACAUUGAGCCUUGAUGUGUAGGAUAGGUGGGAGGCUUUGAAGUGUGGACGCCAGUCUGCAUGGAGCCGACCUUGAAAUACCACCCUUUAAUGUUUGAUGUUCUAACGUGGACCCGUGAUCCGGGUUGCGGACAGUGUCUGGUGGGUAGUUUGACUGGGGCGGUCUCCUCCUAAAGAGUAACGGAGGAGCACGAAGGUUGGCUAAUCCUGGUCGGACAUCAGGAGGUUAGUGCAAUGGCAUAAGCCAGCUUGACUGCGAGCGUGACGGCGCGAGCAGGUGCGAAAGCAGGUCAUAGUGAUCCGGUGGUUCUGAAUGGAAGGGCCAUCGCUCAACGGAUAAAAGGUACUCCGGGGAUAACAGGCUGAUACCGCCCAAGAGUUCAUAUCGACGGCGGUGUUUGGCACCUCGAUGUCGGCUCAUCACAUCCUGGGGCUGAAGUAGGUCCCAAGGGUAUGGCUGUUCGCCAUUUAAAGUGGUACGCGAGCUGGGUUUAGAACGUCGUGAGACAGUUCGGUCCCUAUCUGCCGUGGGCGCUGGAGAACUGAGGGGGGCUGCUCCUAGUACGAGAGGACCGGAGUGGACGCAUCACUGGUGUUCGGGUUGUCAUGCCAAUGGCACUGCCCGGUAGCUAAAUGCGGAAGAGAUAAGUGCUGAAAGCAUCUAAGCACGAAACUUGCCCCGAGAUGAGUUCUCCCUGAGACUUUAGGUCUCCUGAAGGAACGUUGAAGACGACGACGUUGAUAGGCCGGGUGUGUAAGCGCAGCGAUGCGUUGAGCUAACCGGUACUAAUGAACCGUGAGGCUUAACCUU